GUAGGGUGCGAGCGUUAAUCGGAAUUACUGGGCGUAAAGCGUGCGCAGGCGGUUAUGUAAGACAGAUGUGAAAUCCCCGGGCUCAACCUGGGACCUGCAUUUGUGACUGCAUAGCUAGAGUACGGUAGAGGGGGAUGGAAUUCCGCGUGUAGCAGUGAAAUGCGUAGAUAUGCGGAGGAACACCGAUGGCGAAGGCAAUCCCCUGGACCUGUACUGACGCUCAUGCACGAAAGCGUGGGGAGCAAACAGGAUUAGAUACCCUGGUAGUCCACGCCCUAAACGAUGUCAACUGGUUGUUGGGUCUUCACUGACUCAGUAACGAAGCUAACGCGUGAAGUUGACCGCCUGGGGAGUACGGCCGCAAGGUUG
This 369-nucleotide ribosomal RNA is filed under the name uncultured bacterium. RNAcentral's name for it is "bacterial SSU rRNA". It matches the Rfam family "Bacterial small subunit ribosomal RNA", at positions 527 to 896 of the family's 1533-position model. RNAcentral also lists the same sequence under 1 other name. The record is from RNAcentral.